This 309-nucleotide ribosomal RNA is filed under the name uncultured bacterium. RNAcentral describes it as "bacterial SSU rRNA". It matches the Rfam family "Bacterial small subunit ribosomal RNA", at positions 34 to 340 of the family's 1533-position model. The record is from RNAcentral.
AUUGAACCGCUGGCGGCAUGCCUUACACAUGCAAGUCGAACGGUAACGCGGGGCAACCUGGCGACGAGUGGCGAACGGGUGAGUAAUAUAUCGGAACGUGCCCAAUAGUGGGGGAUAGCCCGGCGAAAGCCGGAUUAAUACCGCAUACGACCUGAGGGUGAAAGCGGGGGAUCGCAAGACCUCGCGCUAUUGGAGCGGCCGAUAUCAGAUUAGGUAGUUGGUGGGGUAAAGGCCUACCAAGCCUACGAUCUGUAGCUGGUCUGAGAGGACGACCAGCCACACUGGGACUGAGACACGGCCCAGACUCCU